GAUGAACGCUAGCGGGAGGCUUAACACAUGCAAGUCGAGGGGCAGCAUAGGGUAGCAAUACUCUGAUGGCGACCGGCAAAACGGGUGAGUAACGCGUAUGCAACCUACCCUGUACAGGGGGAUAACCCGGAGAAAUUCGGACUAAUAUCCCGUAAUAAUAUCCGGGGGCAUCUUUGGAUAUUUAAAGUUCCGGCGGUACGGGAUGGGCAUGCGUAACAUUAGCUAGUUGGUAAGGUAACGGCUUACCAAGGCUUUGAUGUUUAGGGGUCCUGAGAGGGUGGUCCCCCACACUGGUACUGAGACACGGACCAGACUCCGUACGGGAGGCAGCAGUGAGGAAUAUUGGUCAAUGGGCGCAAGCCUGAACCAGCCAUCCCGCGUGCAGGAAGACGGCGCUAUGCGUUGUAAACUGCUUUUCCAGGGAGAGAACUUGGCGCACGUGUUGCGCAAUUGACGGUACCCGUAGGGAAUAAGCAUCGCUAACUCCGUGCCAGCACGCCGCGGUAAGA
This 509-nucleotide ribosomal RNA is filed under the name uncultured bacterium. RNAcentral's name for it is "bacterial SSU rRNA". It matches the Rfam family "Bacterial small subunit ribosomal RNA", at positions 28 to 525 of the family's 1533-position model. The record is from RNAcentral.